GACGGAGGAUGCAAGCGUUAUCCGGAAUUAUUGGGCGUAAAGCGUCCGCAGGUGGCUGUUCAAGUCUGCUGUCAAAGCGCAGAGCUUAACUCUGUACAGGCGGUGGAAACUGAAGAGCUAGAGUAUGGUAGGGGUAGAGGGAAUUCCCGGUGUAGCGGUGAAAUGCGUAGAUAUCAGGAGGAACACCUGCGGUGUAGACGGCUUACUGGACCAUAACUGACGCUGAGGCACGAAAGCGUGGGGAGCGAACAGG
This 253-nucleotide ribosomal RNA is filed under the name uncultured bacterium. Its description in RNAcentral is "partial 16S ribosomal RNA". It matches the Rfam family "Bacterial small subunit ribosomal RNA", at positions 524 to 776 of the family's 1533-position model. The record is from RNAcentral.